Long non-coding RNA from Mytilus californianus (California mussel), 519 nucleotides. RefSeq lists it as uncharacterized. The record is from RefSeq and is a predicted model, not a curated record. The transcript has 3 exons. NCBI's taxonomy places the organism in Eukaryota, Metazoa, Mollusca, Bivalvia, Mytilida, Mytilidae.
ACCAAUCAUUUGAAAAAUAUAAUUUCCAGCACACAGAUAAACUUAUAGUUCAAGAAUGAAAUCUAACAUCAUGUUCUUCAUAGUUGUGCUUAUUUCAUUUAGAGAAUGCCAUUCUUGGUGCACAGCGGAGCCUGUUUCAGAAAAUUCUCUUGUGUGUAGCUAUGAAGGUAACGUCAUACAAAAAGGUGGGAGCAGAACCUUUAACAAGCCCAAGUGUGUAAAGUGCAGCUGUUCUCAAACAACGCUUUCGUGCUGUUCAAUAGGCAUUGAAAUAACAAGUGUGGGGCCAGAAUGUAAAAUUGUUCAGGAUGGUUGUACUCAACGAGCAGUUUUGAAGUCGGAUAGCAAUAAAAAAUGCUCUUCGGUUACUGCAGUUGGCAGGUAAACCAGUUUGACACUGAUUCGUAUUGGUAGAAGUGUUGUGGUAUUUUGAAAUUAAAGCCAUGUUCCAGACCGUAUGACACUUUUAACAUGAAAUAAAUAUACAUAAGUUUAUAUUAAAGAAAAGAUUGUAUUGUU